This 637-nucleotide ribosomal RNA is filed under the name uncultured bacterium. RNAcentral describes it as "bacterial SSU rRNA". It matches the Rfam family "Bacterial small subunit ribosomal RNA", at positions 338 to 1414 of the family's 1533-position model. The record is from RNAcentral.
CCUACGGGAGGCAGCAGUGGGGAAUUUUGGACAAUGGGCGCAAGCCUGAUCCAGCAAUGCCGCGUGAGUGAAGAAGGCCUUCGGGUUGUAAAGCUCUUUUGUCAGGGAAGAAACGGUGGGGGCUAAUAUCUCCUACUAAUGACGGUACCUGAAGAAUAAGCACCGGCUAACUACGUGCCAGCAGCCGCGGUAAUACGUAGGGUGCAAGCGUUAAUCGGAAUUACUGGGCGUAAAGCGUGCGCAGGCGGUUUUGUAAGUCUGUCGUGAAAGCCCCGGGCUCAACCUGGGAAUUGCGAUGGAGACUGCAAGGCUUGAAUCUGGCAGAGGGGGUAGAAUUCCACGUGUAGCAGUGAAAUGCGUAGAGAUGUGGAGGAACACCGAUGGCGAAGGCAGCCCCCUGGGUCAAGAUUGACGCUCAUGCACGAAAGCGUGGGGAGCAAACAGGAUUAGAUACCCUGGUAGUCCACGCCCUAAAACGAUGUCUACUAGUUGUCGGGUUUUAAAUUAACUUGGUAAACGCAGCUAACGCGUGAAGUAGACCGCCUGGGGAGUACGGUCGCAAGAUUAAAAACCUCAAAAAUGAAGUUAGUACGGACGUGAGACGUAGACCGAACGGACGACACGAGGGAGGAGGGAG